UCUGCUCAAUGAUUUUUUAAAUUGCUGUAGUAUUUUGACUAUACAAAGGUAUUGUAAUAAGACUUUAAUUGAGUGCUAAGAGAAUGGAUUUUCAAAAAAAUUCUUUUUUAAGUUUAAAAAUUAAAGUUAUUUUUAUUUGUGAAGAAACAAUAAUAAAAAUUAAAGACAAGAAGACCCUAUGAAUUUUUAUAAACUUUAAUAUUUAAUUAAAUAUUAAAGUUUAUUUAAUUGGGGCGAUUGAGAAAGAUAAAAAACUUUUUUUUUAUUUAAAGAGAUCCAUUAUUAAUGAUUUUAUGUAAAAAAUACUCUAGGGAUAA
This 317-nucleotide ribosomal RNA is filed under the name Haemaphysalis longicornis (longhorned tick). RNAcentral's name for it is "partial large subunit ribosomal RNA". The record is from RNAcentral. Lineage: Eukaryota; Metazoa; Arthropoda; Arachnida; Ixodida; Ixodidae.